This 486-nucleotide ribosomal RNA is filed under the name uncultured bacterium. Its description in RNAcentral is "partial 16S ribosomal RNA". It matches the Rfam family "Bacterial small subunit ribosomal RNA", at positions 28 to 507 of the family's 1533-position model. The record is from RNAcentral.
GAUGAACGCUGGCGGCGUGCCUAAUACAUGCAAGUCGAACGCUGGAGAUCUAUCUUGCUAGAUCGAAGGAGUGGCGAACGGGUGAGUAAUACAUAAGCAACCUACCCACGAAGACUGGGAUAAUCUCUGGAAACGGGGACUAAUACCGGAUAGGUAAUCGGAAGGCAUCUUCUGGUUAUUAAAGGUUAAAAACACUGGUGGAUGGGCUUAUGGCGCAUUAGUUAGUUGGUGAGGUAACGGCCCACCAAGACGAUGAUGCGUAGCCGGCCUGAGAGGGUGAACGGCCACAUUGGGACCGAGACACGGCCCAGACGCCUACGGGAGGCAGCAGUAGGGAAGUUUCGGCAAUGGGGGCAACCCUGACCGAGCAACGCCGCGUGAGUGAAGACGGCCUUCGGGUUGUAAAGCUCUGUUGUAAGGGAAGAACGGUAGAUAGAGAAUAUCUAAGUGACGGUACCUUACCAGAAAGCCACGGCUAACUACGUG